CUUCACAAGGGAGGCUUUAACCUAAGAAUGGUGAGGGCUUUUGAUCACAGGGAUGGGGUGAUGUGAGGGAGAGGGACCAGAAAAUCAGCACUUGCAGGGUUGCAAGGAAAUGCCUGAAGGCACUGCUAUGGGGAGAUUCCCCAAAGCUCCAGAGGAGGUUGUGGUGGGUAACGGGGGGAGGCUGCUUGGAUUUGUGCAGAGGGAGAGCUGGAGAGAGAAAUAGAUGGACAGAGGGAUCAACAGAGGAGAGAACUGUUGGUUGGAUGGAUGGAUGGAUGGAUGAAUGGAUGGAUGGAUGGAUGAAUGGAUGGAUGGAUGGAUGGAUGGAUGGAUGGAUGGAUGGAUGGAUGAAUGGAUGGAUGGAUGGAUGGAUGGAUGGAAAACGGAUUGAAGGAUCAUUGGAUGGACGGAACAAUUGUUGGAUGAAAGGGUGGAUGUAAAUACAGGUGGGUGGAGAGAUCAACGGGAAAAUAUGAUUUCUGCCUGAAAGACCAGUGUGCCCCCAGGCCCCACUCCCUCCAUGGGAACCAGUGGGGGUGGCCCUGCGGGUACAGAACCCACGUCCCAUUGGCUGGAGCCAUUCUCUUGGCUGCUACAGAACGCAGAACCUUUGGAGGAGGCUCAGUUCCAUGGCUCUGGCAUGGGGAGUGCUGGAUCCCUGGAUCCUCUGUCCAUUUGGGAUGGGGUGAUGGGGUCUGUGGUGCAGGAUGGAUCUUGGGUAUGGUGGUCUGUUGCCCCCUUUUAGUGGGAUGUGGGGUGAGAGAAGUCCUUGCCGUAUGGGUCCCCUUCUUACAGGAGGGAUUGGGCUCUAUGGAGUAGAAUGGGUCAGUGAGGUCCGUUGCCCACCUAUCAGGUUUACGGGGUCCAGUGGGGCAGGGAGAGGUCCCAAACCCCUCAGUUGGAUGCCCUGUUUAAUGUGAGAAGGAAGAUAAUGAGGUAAAGCGAGGCAGAGGGAGGGCCCCCUCCUUGCCCCUCCCCUUCAUUGCUGUGAUGUCAGUGGGGUAACAGCAGUUCUCAGGGUAACUGUCCCAACCCCAAACCAUCCUAGACUCCUCUCUGAUCAGCUGUGAAGAUGGUGCCUUGUGGCCUUAUUCCCAUCUGGGAUGGAUCGUUCUACAAUGCUGUGUGUCCCAUUGGGCCAAAAGUACUGGUUUGGUGCUGAAAUCCAACUCCAUUCCUCACCAGCUGUAUUCCCAAGGAAUCCUCCUUCCCCAUCCUCCCCAAGCUCCCAACUUCUAUCUCCAACUGAUGUGCAGAAAUCAAACUCUAUAACCACAGAGUGGUUAUAAAGCAGGAUAUUUUACAGGUUCUGACUCAGGUUCAGAGAUUUUAAGUUUACCGUCUGGAAUUAAAGCAUUCUUCAACUGCCUGUUCUGCCACCUGAUCCGCCAUCUUAUCUCCAGUUUCCUGUACAGUGCUACCUUUCUGAUGUCCUUUACAGAGUAUAAUAGCCAUGCUCUUUGAAUCACAGGAGCUAAAAUAGUCUGAAAAAGAAGAGUCCAAAUCUUUGCCUUUGGAAGGCCCAGCUCGUUACCCAACUCCUGAGCAAAGAAAAAGAAGAAUAAAGGCUUCAGUCACCACACAUACUCACACUGGGAGACUUCAGCCUCAGCGUGACUGUCAGCCCUGUGGACACGCUGGCUGUCACUGUGCCCACCGUCUGCCACAACAUCACCUGCAGCCUCUGUGGAACUUCAGUGGCCGUCUCCACACCGACCGCCUCAUCCAGAGCAGCACUGCCACGGGUCACUGCCUCAGUCCUGGUCCCAGGUGUCCCCUGUGCCGGCAAUCCCCCAGCAGUGAGUGAGUGGGCAGUGGACACAACCUGGGCUUCUCGCCGGGCCCUGCACGGGUGGUGGCAGUGUUCCAGGGGCACCGCCUCCGGCCCCACCCAUCCCUCUCCAAAAACGAGCUGAUGCUGUUCUCCUGGUUUGAGCGGCUGUGUACGGACUGUGCGACUGCCCGAGGGGAACCUUCCAACCUACUGCCUGAACUGAACUGAACUGAACUGAACUUCGGUGUCACGAGCGCGGCUGCAGAUAUGCAGUAACCGUACUGAAACUGUAACUAUCUGAAGACCCACAUGCAGAACAAACCGUACAGUGCACAGAAAUCACACUGCAAUGAUGAAGGAACUCGGCAACGGGGCCGCUGCUGUGUUUUGGUAACAGUGAGGAGGCACCAGCAACGAGCUGUGGAUUGGCUGCCCCCCCUGCGCUGCACUGUGCAUUCACGCGCUGGCCACGCGUAGAGUGCGUGAUCCGGCUCAGGGCAUACAGACAUGUCAGGAGGGCAGCAGGGUGAGGUAACUCAGGCAGAGGACACCGCUGCCUCCAUGGGGAUGCCCGCAAGGCCCUGAGCCAACCAGUCCCUCCCCUUACAGCCAAUCCGAGCUGUGCUGGCUGAUGGUCCUUUUGGGACCUCUUGGCGGAUCAGUAGCUGUGCACUGCAGUGCUUAAACGCUCGCUUUGGCCGACUGUGUGUGUGAACGUGUGUUCUGUGCAGUGCCUCAUCCCUGCAUCCCAACACCCCGACGCAGCAGUGCUCCGUGCCGUCCUGCAGGCUGCUGUGCAGCGCGCAGUGCUGCAGAGCUGUACUUCCCGGCCCUGUGCUCUCCAGCAGUCUCGUGUGAGUUCUGCCUCCCCCAGAAAACUCUUCUGGGGCAGUGCUGGUGCACCCCUGUGCACGCACACGCGUGUGAAAAAACAAGCACUGACAUGCAGACACCGAUUUGCACACACCCCUGUACGUGCACACGCAUGUGUAUCCACACACCUGCACACACCCACAGGCAAACACGUGCACACAUGUGCAAGAACACCUUUGCUGACAUCCAUGAGCACACAUACAUCUACAUGCAUGUACACACGUGCAAAAUGACACAUCCAUGUUCAAGCACCUCCUGGCACACACACAGCGAUCUGUACGCACACAUUUCAAGCCUACCUUUGCACACACAUGCACAUCCUUUGCACUCCUGUGUGCAAACAGCCACGUGCGUGCAUGAACACGUGCAGUUCAACCCUUUGGCAUAUUUGUGGCCAAGCUGUGCGACCCUGCCCUUGCACAAACCCAUGUGCAGACAUUGCAACCGCAUCCCUUUGCACAUAGCUGUGCAAGCCCAUAUUUGCACACACAUAUGAACACACACCCACAUGGGCCACCUUUGCACGCUCACUUGCAAACAGCACCUUGCAUCCCUCCAUUUGCAUGCAGACGUGCAAGCACAGCCUUGCACACGCAUAUGAAUGUGCAUGUGUGCAGAACCAUACACACAAGUGCAAAGGUGUACUCCCACACGUACCUGUGCAGUCACACACAUGCAAGCACAUCCUUGCACACCCGUGUGCACACACCACCCGUACGCAUGCAAAUGUAUGCAAAACCAUGCAGCCAUGUGCAAAGACCCCAAUGCUCCUA
Molecule: long non-coding RNA, 3420 nt
Filed under: Gallus gallus (chicken)
Lineage: Eukaryota; Metazoa; Chordata; Aves; Galliformes; Phasianidae
Description: lncRNA (ENSGALG00010024914.1)
Source: RNAcentral